This 1920-nucleotide long non-coding RNA is filed under the name Pan troglodytes (chimpanzee). RNAcentral describes it as "long non-coding RNA NONPTRT012282". Lineage: Eukaryota; Metazoa; Chordata; Mammalia; Primates; Hominidae. The record is from RNAcentral.
CUCGUGCAUUUGGCGGACAGAGCCUCAAGUUUGGAAAGGGCGGGCAGGCCCAUCGGUGCUGCUGUGUGGCUGAUCGGACCGGCCACUCAAUAUUGCACACCUCAUAUGGGAGGUCUCUGCAAUAUGAUACCAGCUGUUUUGUGGAGUAUUUUGCCUUGGACCUCCUGAUGGAGAACAGAGAGUGCCGUGGUGUCAUCGCACUGUGCAUACAGGACGGGUCCAUCUGUCGCAUAAGAGCAAAGAACACUGUUGUUGCCACAGGGUAGGAAUCUAAUUUCUACUUUAUUUCCUUUGUAAAAAUGAAUAAAUUUCUUUUAGAGUGUCUUUAUUUUAAGGAAAAUAGAGGCAUUGUAGAAUAGCAGUUCAGACACAGGCCUUGAUAUAACCGUGUGAGGGUGAUGGCCUUUCCCAGCCGUGGUUCCUCACCUGUAAAGGGUGAGGACAGCAGCACCUGCCUCGGGGUGAGAAAGCAUGGCCCUCAGUAGUCGGUAGUGGCUGCCAUCAGCUUCACAGCUUACCUCUCCCGAUUUUAGAUGAGGCACCUGCGGCCCGAAGAGUCACAUGGGGUUUUCUGGCAAAAUCUCUCUUGUUUUAGUGGGUUCUGUGUUUAUACUGAUUCCUGGGAUAGAUAAGUCUGUCUUCUCCACAUAAUGAAAAUGAAAAACUUUAAUUUUAUACAGUGGCAGUUACUUUAGCCACUUUAAAAGUUAAGAAGUGUCAGUACAGCCAAGAAAAAAAAUCAGCAAAACUACAGGUUGGGAAAAAAUAUUUUCCAAACCAUAUAUCUAAUGAUAUCUUAGUAUCUAAAAUAGCAAAAAAAAAAAAAAAAAAAAAAAGCCCUACUAAAAACAACCUACUAAAGCCUACUAAAAAACAACCCAACUAAAAAUGGGCAAAGGACUUGAAUAGAUAUUUUUCCAGAGAAGACAUACAAAUGGCCAGUUGAUGUAUGAAAAAAUGCUCAACAUCACUAAGCACCAGAGAAAUGCAAAUUAAAGCCCCAAUGAGUAUCAUCUCAUCUCGCUCCAGUUAGAAUGGCUGUUACCAAGAGGACAAAAGAUAGUGUUGGUGAGGAUGUGGAGAAAAGGGAACCCUGUGUGCUGUUGGUGGGAAUGUAAAUUAGUACAACUAUUGUGGAAAACUCUGGAGGUUCCUCAAAAGCCGCAGGACUACCAUGUGCUCCAGCAACCUCAUUUCUGGGUGUAUAUCCAAAGGGCAUGAAAUCAGAAGCUCAAAGAGACACCUGGACCCCCAUGUUCAUUGCAGCGUUAUUCACAAUACCCAAGAUAUGGAAACAACCUAAAAAUUUUUGGUGUUUAAUGACAAUGUGGUGUGUAUACACAACUGAAUAUUAUUCAGCUAUGAAAACGAAGGAAAUCCUGUCAUGUGUGACAACGUGGAUGAACCCAAAGUCAUUAUGUUAAGUGAAACGACCCAGGCACAGAAAGACAGAUACUGCAUGUCACUCAUAUGUGGAUCUAAAACUGUCACAACUCACAGAAACAGAAUAGGACAGUGGUUGCCAGGGGCUGGGGGAAUGCAGACUGUGGCGAUGCUGAUUAAAGGUGUAACUUCCCGUUACAAGAUGAAGUUCUGAAGGUCUGAUAUACAGCAUGGUGGCUAGAGUUAAUGUUAUACAGCAUGGUGGCCAGAGUUAACAUUAUACAGCAUGGUGGCUAGAGUUAAUAUUAUACAGUACGGUGGCUAUCGUUAAUAUAACUUGAAAUUUGCGAAGAGAGUAGACCUUAGGCAUCUGUAUCUCCAAAAAAAAGGAUAAUUGUAUGAGGUGAGAGAUGUGUAUUAAGUUGAUUGUGUCAUCAGUUCACAAAAUAAAUCAUCACAUUGUACACCUUAAAUAUAUACAGUAUUGUUUUUUGUUUAAUUCAUCAAUCAUACCUCAGUAAAUCGGGGGGAAAAAAC